CCUACGGGUGGCAGCAGUAGGGAAUAUUGCUCAAUGGGGGAAACCCUGAAGCAGCAACGCCGCGUGGAGGAUGAAGGUUUUCGGAUUGUAAACUCCUUUUGUUAGAGAAGAUAAUGACGGUAUCUAACGAAUAAGCACCGGCUAACUCCGUGCCAGCAGCCGCGGUAAUACGGAGGGUGCAAGCGUUACUCGGAAUCACUGGGCGUAAAGAGCGCGUAGGCGGGAUAGCAAGUCAGAUGUGAAAUCCUAUGGCUUAACCAUAGAAAUGCAUUUGAAACUGUUAAUCUAGAGUAUGGGAGAGGUAGGUGGAAUUCUUGGUGUAGGGGUAAAAUGCGUAGAGAUCAAGAGGAAUACUCAUGGCGAAGGCGACCUGCUAGAACAUAACUGACGCUGAUGCGCGAAAGCGUGGGGAGCAAACAGGAUUAGAUACCCUAGUAGUC
RNAcentral lists this ribosomal RNA (440 nucleotides) under uncultured bacterium. Its description in RNAcentral is "partial 16S ribosomal RNA". It matches the Rfam family "Bacterial small subunit ribosomal RNA", at positions 338 to 795 of the family's 1533-position model. The record is from RNAcentral.